This 446-nucleotide ribosomal RNA is filed under the name uncultured bacterium. Its description in RNAcentral is "partial 16S ribosomal RNA". It matches the Rfam family "Bacterial small subunit ribosomal RNA", at positions 329 to 792 of the family's 1533-position model. The record is from RNAcentral.
AUCCAGACUCCUACGGGAGGCAGCAGUGGGGAAUAUUGCACAAUGGGGGAAACCCUGAUGCAGCGACGCCGCGUGAGCGAUGAAGUAUUUCGGUAUGUAAAGCUCUAUCAGCAGGGAAGAAAAUGACGGUACCUGACUAAGAAGCCCCGGCUAACUACGUGCCAGCAGCCGCGGUAAUACGUAGGGGGCAAGCGUUAUCCGGAUUUACUGGGUGUAAAGGGAGCGUAGACGGCAGUGCAAGUCCGGAGUGAAAGCCCGGGGCUCAACCCUGGGACUGCUCUGGAAACUGUAAAGCUGGAGUGCGGGAGGGGCAGGCGGAAUUCCUGGUGUAGCGGUGAAAUGCGUAGAUAUCAGGAGGAACACCGGCGGCGAAGGCGGCCUGCUGGACCGCGACUGACGUUGAGGCCCGAAAGCGUGGGGAGCAAACAGGAUUAGAUACCCGGGUA